UCACUGCACAGGAACAGAAAGGUGGCAGAUGCUGAUUCCCCAGCGACUGCAAGCCACCUCGGUUCGGUCUGCUUCAGCAAGCCCUCUGUCUCACUGAGCAAGCCCAGGAGCAGUUACCAGUGCUGGAGGUUGCUCAGGCUCGAGGGCAGAUUAUCAAGGCUGAGAAUGUUCCCCAUGAGUGACAAACUAAUUUCUUUAUUAAGGUCAGUUAUCUUUACUGCUGGUCAAACAUUUGGAACAGAACUGAUAUCAAUGUGUAUUCAUUACUCCAUGGCAGCCAAAAUAAUCAGAAUGACAGACAUAUUUAUACAACUGCCUGAUUUGAACUCCAAAUAAUUAUCCAAAUUAAAUGGAUUUUUGGAUUAUUUUAGACACUGCAGAUGUGUAGUUUGUAUAUUGGAAUUAUUUAUUGUAUCUUAAGUGAUAACCAAGCUAACAUCUCAGCUUGUUCAAAGCUUUGCGAUAAACAUUUACACAUUUUUUGUAAUUGAACCACAGUUGUCUGGGUAAAUUUGUGUAGUUGCAGAUAAUUAGGGCUUUUGUGCUGUUCAUAGGGACAUCUCUGUGGGUCAUGUCACUGCUGAUCCCAUUAUUGAUUAGACCUCAUGUUUUUUUUUUGUUUUUUUUUUUGCUAUCCAUCCCUGUUCUGAGACAAUAUGCUGCAUGCCGUUUAAGAGUCUUUCAUUCCCACAUGAAGAUCAAUAACAACCGUCAGCAGUUCCCUGCCCUCCUCAACUAUCAGUCUCAUUAAUCACUAAAAAUCUUCAAAACAUAACUAUAAAAAUCUAGAGUGAACAUUUCUUCAGCUGGUAAAUGUUGUUUUAUUCUGUUGUUUAGUCUGUGUGCAAGCCUCCUUUUUCUUUCUGUCCCAGGUUGUAUUUCCACUAUUAGAUUAAUACUUCAAAAAUCACAAUCUCUACUUCCUCUCCACUGCAAUGUGUUCACUUAUUGAUGGCUGCCAGUCCACCAAUAAAGAAAAAGAGAUGGCCACAA
This is a long non-coding RNA of Carassius carassius (crucian carp), 993 nucleotides long. RefSeq lists it as uncharacterized. The record is from RefSeq and is a predicted model, not a curated record. NCBI's taxonomy places the organism in Eukaryota, Metazoa, Chordata, Actinopteri, Cypriniformes, Cyprinidae. The transcript is spliced from 2 exons.